AGCGGCAGACGGGAGAGUAACACGUGGGAACGUGCCCUUUGGUUCGGAACAACACAGGGAAACUUGUGCUAAUAACCGGAGUAAGCCCUUACGGGGAAAGAUUUAUCGCCAAAGGAUCGGCCCGCGUCUGAUUAGCUAGUUGGUGGGGUAAUGGCCCACCAAGGCGACGAUCAGUAGCUGGUCUGAGAGGAUGAUCAGCCUCAUUGGGACUGAGACACGGCCCAA
RNAcentral lists this ribosomal RNA (225 nucleotides) under uncultured bacterium. RNAcentral describes it as "partial 16S ribosomal RNA". It matches the Rfam family "Bacterial small subunit ribosomal RNA", at positions 94 to 334 of the family's 1533-position model. The record is from RNAcentral.